RNAcentral lists this ribosomal RNA (98 nucleotides) under Clostridiales bacterium. Its description in RNAcentral is "partial 23S ribosomal RNA". It matches the Rfam family "Bacterial large subunit ribosomal RNA", at positions 2826 to 2925 of the family's 2925-position model. Lineage: Bacteria; Bacillati; Bacillota; Clostridia; Eubacteriales. The record is from RNAcentral.
GAGUAAGACCCCUGGAGGACUACCAGGUGAUAGGUCAACGCUGGAAGUGUGGUAACACAUGCAGGUUGUUGAUACUAAUCGGUCGAGGGCUUGAUUCA